This 119-nucleotide small RNA is filed under the name Salmonella enterica. Its description in RNAcentral is "RtT sRNA". It matches the Rfam family "RtT RNA". From Rfam's summary of the family: This family represents a bacterial cis-regulatory element known as RtT RNA. The exact function of RtT is unknown although it is thought that it may be involved in changing the cellular response in relation to amino acid starvation. Lineage: Bacteria; Pseudomonadati; Pseudomonadota; Gammaproteobacteria; Enterobacterales; Enterobacteriaceae. RNAcentral also lists the same sequence under 4 other names. The record is from RNAcentral.
GCAUCUGAAGUCUGACGAGGAUGAGAACCUCCGGGGGCAAGAGGUUCGACCCGAGCGAAGCGAGAGAACGUUGCGUCAGCAACGGCCCGCAGUGGCAAGUCAUCCUCUGUCACCGGCAG